RNAcentral lists this long non-coding RNA (559 nucleotides) under Nicotiana benthamiana. Its description in RNAcentral is "long non-coding RNA (NBEN_LNC024271)". Lineage: Eukaryota; Viridiplantae; Streptophyta; Magnoliopsida; Solanales; Solanaceae. The record is from RNAcentral.
UAUGUUUGAGUUAGAGAGCAGAGAAUGGUCAUGUAUUGAAUGCAAUGUGUUGUAUUUUCUCCAUUACAAAAUGACAAGAGUGCUCUUUAUAGGUGAAGGAAAUCAUAACAAGUACAAAGUACAUUUAUUAAAAGGGCAUGAGGUUGGCACAACCAAUCAAUGCCAUUGUGCGGGCUUGAACUAGACUAGUAGGCUAAGUCAGCUUUAAUCAUGUGCCUUUUGAACUUCCCUCUAGUGUGUUGUAGUUAUUGAUUUCUACUGCCUCGAGGUCGAUCGUUGAGAACCCCCGGGUCGAACCUCAAGCUGAACUUUGGGCCUUCUGGGGGCGGUCUUUUCGAGGACCACUGAUCUUUAUUGUAUACAUUAUAUAAAAAUCUAGAUCUAAAUACACAUAUAUUUUGUGUGAUUACAAAUCAUUAAAUAAAGAUGAAUUGUUUCCAAAUAUGAAAAUGAGUUAUUAUGUUUGACAUAUACUAAAAAGAAAAUAGAUUCACAUAAAUUGAGAGGGGGGAAGAAAGUAAUAUGUUUGUGUGAAGAGGGAAGAAAGGAAGCGGGGAUG